RNAcentral lists this ribosomal RNA (460 nucleotides) under uncultured bacterium. RNAcentral describes it as "partial 16S ribosomal RNA". It matches the Rfam family "Bacterial small subunit ribosomal RNA", at positions 338 to 795 of the family's 1533-position model. The record is from RNAcentral.
CCUACGGGUGGCAGCAGUGAGGAAUCUUGGUCAAUGGACGAGAGUCUGAUCCAGCCAAGUAGCGUGAAGGAUGACUGCCCUAUGGGUUGUAAACUUCUUUUAUAAAGGAAUAAAACGAGGCACGUGUGCCUUUUUGCAUGUACUUUAUGUAUAAGGAUCGGCUAACUCCGUGCCAGCAGCCGCGGUAAGACGGAGGGUCCGAGCGUUAUCCGGAUUUAUUGGGUUUAAAGGGAGCGUAGAUGGGUUGUUAAGUCAGUUGUGAAAGUUUGCGGCUCAACCGUAAAAUUGCAAUUGAUACUGGCAGUCUUGAGUGCAGUUGAGGUGGGCGGAAUUCGAGGUGUAGCGGUGAAAUGCUUAGAUAUCACGAAGAACCCCGAUUGCGAAGGCAGCUUACUAAGCUGUGACUGACAUUGAUGCUCGAAAGUGUGGGUAGCAAACAGGAUUAGAUACCCCAGUAGUC